AAACCGUCCCUGUUAACCCUUGUGAUGUCCUUGGGUCAAAUUUGACCUGUUUUCAAAGUUUUUCAUAUCAGUGGUAUGGGUUUCUUACAAGCAAAUUGCCCAGACAUAACUUGGGUGCAGUUUGAAAAACAGUUUGACGUGAU
Molecule: long non-coding RNA, 143 nt
Organism: Sander lucioperca (pikeperch)
Lineage: Eukaryota; Metazoa; Chordata; Actinopteri; Perciformes; Percidae
Exons: 4
Source: RefSeq, a predicted model, not a curated record